This 439-nucleotide ribosomal RNA is filed under the name uncultured bacterium. RNAcentral's name for it is "bacterial SSU rRNA". It matches the Rfam family "Bacterial small subunit ribosomal RNA", at positions 954 to 1392 of the family's 1533-position model. The record is from RNAcentral.
GCAUAACGCGAAGAACCUUACCAGGUCUUGACAUCCCCCUGACCGGUACAGAGAUGUACCUUUCCUUCGGGACAGGGGAGACAGGUGGUGCAUGGUUGUCGUCAGCUCGUGUCGUGAGAUGUUGGGUUAAGUCCCGCGACGAGCGCAACCCUUGACUUUAGUUGCCAGCAAGUAAGGUUGGGCACUCUAGAGUGACUGCCGGUGACAAACCGGAGGAAGGUGGGGAUGACGUCAAAUCAUCAUGCCCCUUAUGACCUGGGCUACACACGUACUACAAUGGCCGGUACAACGGGAAGCGAAGGAGCGAUCUGGAGCGAAUCCUAUAAAGCCGGUCUCAGUUCGGAUUGCAGGCUGCAACUCGCCUGCAUGAAGUCGGAAUUGCUAGUAAUCGCGGAUCAGCAUGCCGCGGUGAAUACGUUCCCGGGUCUUGUACACACCG